CUUUGUGGUUUUCAUAGAGUAAUUUGUUGAAGAAUCAUUUUCAUAUCAUCUCAAUCUGUACCUAGGUGUGACUUCUGUCAUUUUUCUUCUUCUUAAUUUUGAUUCUUAAACAGCUGGAAAUGUUGUUUGCUCGUGGGGGCGAGUAGAGGAUGGACAGUUAGGCCAUGGUGACACUGAUGAUCGACUUUUGCCUACAAAACUGAGUGCAUUGGAUGGCCAAGACAUAAUAUGUGUUACUUGUGGAGCUGAUCAUACUAUGGCACGUUCUGAGUCUGGCAGGGAUGUAUAUAGUUGGGGAUGUGAUAAGGAACCAAAGGCAGCAGCAGGGAACAUAUUCAUGAAGCUAGAAGCAAGGGUGCAAGCAGAUGUGCAAGAAGUAAACAAGCCCAAAAGAAGAAUUACGAAACCUUCGUACCUUAAGGAUUUCGUAUGAGCAGCGUGGCCAUGCGGUAGUAUAAUCUUGCUAGAAUAAGCUUUGUCUGCCAAUAGGGGACAAAGAUAACAAACUCUGUUAUUUGUAAUAUUCCUGCAAGCUAAAGGACAAAUUCAGUUAUUAGAAAGCAGUAUAAAUAACCUUGUAAAUAAAGCAAGAGCAAUGAGAAAUAUAGAAGCACUUCCUUUACUCUUCUUA
Glycine soja is the source of this 631-nucleotide long non-coding RNA. RefSeq lists it as uncharacterized. The record is from RefSeq and is a predicted model, not a curated record. The transcript has 2 exons. NCBI's taxonomy places the organism in Eukaryota, Viridiplantae, Streptophyta, Magnoliopsida, Fabales, Fabaceae.